Long non-coding RNA from Nerophis lumbriciformis (worm pipefish), 649 nucleotides. RefSeq lists it as uncharacterized. NCBI's taxonomy places the organism in Eukaryota, Metazoa, Chordata, Actinopteri, Syngnathiformes, Syngnathidae. The record is from RefSeq and is a predicted model, not a curated record.
GGGGUGGAGCCAGGAGACACACCUGUGGAGAGUUUGGCAAUUAGGCCUUCUAACGCUGCCGCCCAUUUACAUCAGAAGUGGGAAGUCGGAGCUGGGAAUGACGUCACAGGCGAGUUGUGAGUGUUCCAGUUAUAAGGGCAGCCGUAUUUGAAACCAACUCGGUAGUGGUGAGAAUGGUCUGACUUUCCGAGUAAGAAAUCCGACCUCGUUGAUAUUCCGACUUCCCAGUACAAAAGUUCUCCUGGCUCCUGGCCGUGCAAGUUUCUGUUUAUCGUCCUGACUCGUUUGCACAAAGAACACGGGCGUGAUUUGGAAGCAGGCGAUAAUUGGAGAGACAGUGUUAUUCCCAGAAUAAGCAUCGCCGAGAAGCCACGCGACUUGAGGAAGCAGGGGAACACUUACCGCACUUGGAGCGCCCGCUAAAGAAGCCACGACGGGUUCAACGGAGGGCAGGAAGAGGGCAAAGUACUGAAGGUGAUGACACUUGGACAUAAAAGACUCAACUCAUAAAGACUUGCUGCAAAAAUAACAUUAAGUAUGACAUAUUCUACCACAUUAAAGGGGAACUGCAUUUUUUUUUUAGGGGUUUUGGUGACCAUGCAGUCAUUCUAUAGGUGGUUAACAAUGCAUCUAAUGAGGAUUCCAUCUA